Clupea harengus (Atlantic herring) is the source of this 423-nucleotide long non-coding RNA. The record is from Ensembl. Lineage: Eukaryota; Metazoa; Chordata; Actinopteri; Clupeiformes; Clupeidae.
GCCAUUACUUACACACUCCCUACCUCCAUACUGCAUUCACAUUAGAGGUCUACGAGUGCUGAACUUUAAGGUGUGUUUGACAGGGAGAAGAUGACAUUUAAACAAUAUUAAAUGGUAGGAACUUUAAGAUGUGCUUAUACAAUAUAAAAUGGUACGAACUUUAAGAUGUGCUUGUACAAUAUAAAAUGGUAGGAACUUUAAGAUGUGCUUGUACAAUAUAAAAUGGUAGGAACUUUAAGGUGUGCUUGUACAAUAUAAAAUGGCAAGAACGUUAAGGUGUGCUUGUACAAUAUAAAAUGAUAGGAACUUUAAGGUGUGCUUGUACAAUAUAAAAUGGCAAGAACUUUAAGGUGUGGUUGUUCAAUAUAAAAGGAUCGGGAUCUGGUUAUAAUGAAUAACAAAUAACAUUGCAUGUACAGUCUA